AGCGACUAAGCGUACACGGUGGAUGCCCUGGCAGUCAGAGGCGAURAAGGGCGUGCUAAUCUGCGAUAAGCGUCGGUAAGGUGAUAUGAACCGUUAUACCCGACGAUACCCGAAUGGGAAACCCGGUGCAAUCCGUUGCAUCAUCGCAACAUGAAUACAUAGUGUUGCGAGGCGAACCGGGGGAACUGAAACAUCUAAGUACCCCGAGGAAAAGAAAUCAACCGAGAUUCCCCCAGUAGCGGCGAGCGAACGGGGAGGAGCCCGGAACCAUCAUCAGCGGUUGCGUCAGUGGAAGCGUCUGGAAAGUCGCACGAUACAGGGUGAAAGUCCCGUACACGAAGAUACAGCCGUUGUGAGUUCGAAGAGUAGGGCGGGACACGUGGUAUCCUGUCUGAAUAUGGGGGGACCAUCCUCCAAGGCUAAAUACUCCUGACUGACCGAUAGUGAACCAGUACCGUGAGGGAAAGGCGAAAAGAACCCCGGCGAGGGGAGUGAAACAGAACCUGAAACCGUGUACGUACAAGCAGUGGGAGCCUCAUUUAUGGGGUGACUGCGUACCUUUUGUAUAAUGGGUCAGCGACUUGUAUUCUGUAGCAAGGUUAACCGAAUAGGGGAGCCGAAGGGAAACCGAGUCUUAACCGGGCGUUAAGUUGCAGGGUACAGACCCGAAACCCGGUGAUCUAGCCAUGGGCAGGUUGAAGGUUGGGUAACACUACCUGGAGGACCGAACCGACUGAUGUUGAAAAAUCAGCGGAUGACCUGUGGCUGGGGGUGAAAGGCCAAUCAAACCGGGAGAUAGCUGGUUCUCCCCGAAAGCUAUUUAGGUAGCGCCUCGUGAAUUCAUCUCCGGGGGUAGAGCACUGUUUCGGCUAGGGGGCCAUCCCGGCUUACCAACCCGAUGCAAACUGCGAA
RNAcentral lists this ribosomal RNA (912 nucleotides) under Erwinia oleae. RNAcentral describes it as "bacterial LSU rRNA". It matches the Rfam family "Bacterial large subunit ribosomal RNA", at positions 1 to 961 of the family's 2925-position model. The record is from RNAcentral. Lineage: Bacteria; Pseudomonadati; Pseudomonadota; Gammaproteobacteria; Enterobacterales; Erwiniaceae.